RNAcentral lists this ribosomal RNA (959 nucleotides) under uncultured bacterium. Its description in RNAcentral is "bacterial SSU rRNA". It matches the Rfam family "Bacterial small subunit ribosomal RNA", at positions 60 to 1015 of the family's 1533-position model. The record is from RNAcentral.
AGUCGAGCGGUAACAGAAAGUAGCUUGCUACUUUGCUGACGAGCGGCGGACGGGUGAGUAAUGCUUGGGAACAUGCCUUGAGGUGGGGGACAACAGUUGGAAACGACUGCUAAUACCGCAUAAUGUCUACGGACCAAAGGGGGCUUCGGCUCUCGCCUUUAGAUUGGCCCAAGUGGGAUUAGCUAGUUGGUGAGGUAAUGGCUCACCAAGGCGACGAUCCCUAGCUGGUUUGAGAGGAUGAUCAGCCACACUGGGACUGAGACACGGCCCAGACUCCUACGGGAGGCAGCAGUGGGGAAUAUUGCACAAUGGGCGCAAGCCUGAUGCAGCCAUGCCGCGUGUGUGAAGAAGGCCUUCGGGUUGUAAAGCACUUUCAGUCAGGAGGAAAGCGUGGUGGUUAAUACCCAUCAUGUGUGACGUUACUGACAGAAGAAGCACCGGCUAACUCCGUGCCAGCAGCCGCGGUAAUACGGAGGGUGCGAGCGUUAAUCGGAAUUACUGGGCGUAAAGCGUACGCAGGCGGUUUGUUAAGCGAGAUGUGAAAGCCCCGGGCUCAACCUGGGAACUGCAUUUCGAACUGGCAAACUAGAGUGUGAUAGAGGGUGGUAGAAUUUCAGGUGUAGCGGUGAAAUGCGUAGAGAUCUGAAGGAAUACCGAUGGCGAAGGCAGCCACCUGGGUCAACACUGACGCUCAUGUACGAAAGCGUGGGGAGCAAACGGGAUUAGAUACCCCGGUAGUCCACGCCGUAAACGAUGUCUACUAGAAGCUCGGAGCCUCGGUUCUGUUUUUCAAAGCUAACGCAUUAAGUAGACCGCCUGGGGAGUACGGCCGCAAGGUUAAAACUCAAAUGAAUUGACGGGGGCCNNNNCAAGCGGUGGAGCAUGNNNUUUAAUUCGAUGCAACGCGAAGAACCUUACCUACACUUGACAUACANNNAACUUACCAGAGAUGGUUUGGU